AGAUUGACGGCAAGGGUAACGACCAUGAUUAGACUACUCGGUAGUUCAGGCCGUAAACGAUUAGUGUGUGGUGUUGGAUGUUUUCCGUCUUUCAGAUCCGUAGCUAACUCAUUAAUCACUCCGCCUGCGGAGUACGACCGCAAGUUUGAAAUUCAACGGAAUUGACGGGGGCCCGCACAAGCGGUGGAGCAUGUGGUUUCAUUCGAAGCUACGCGAAGAACCUUACCAGGUCUUGACAUCUUGCGCUAACCUUAGAGAUAAGGCGUUCCCUUAGGGGACGCCAUGCCAGGUGGUGCAUGGUCGUCGUCAGCUCGUGUCGUGAGAUGUUGAGAUAAGUACCGCACCGCGCACAACCCUUGUUACUAGUUGCCAUCAUUCAGUUGGGCACUCUAGUGAUACUGCCGUUGCAAAACCUGAGUAA
Molecule: ribosomal RNA, 421 nt
Filed under: Limosilactobacillus reuteri
Lineage: Bacteria; Bacillati; Bacillota; Bacilli; Lactobacillales; Lactobacillaceae
Description: bacterial SSU rRNA
Rfam family: Bacterial small subunit ribosomal RNA
Source: RNAcentral